UCACGAUGGAGGAUGUGUAACAGCCACCAUACUGAUAGACUUGCUCUGUCUUACGGCUGUGGGAAAGUCUGAGAGCGCUAAUUGUUUUCUUGGCGGAACAUGCGGUGAACGCAUUGCUUGGAACCAGUAACGAGCCCAUAUAAUGGCAAGCCCUGCGAAGACCCAUUUGGGAUGGAACGGCUAAGCACGCUGCGUUUGUGAGUGAGAUACAUGUCGCCGGAUUCGUCCGGAAACUCGAUUCAGAUUACUCCUGUUCGUGA
Molecule: non-coding RNA, 260 nt
Organism: Trichomonas vaginalis G3
Lineage: Eukaryota; Parabasalia; Trichomonadida; Trichomonadidae
Source: Rfam